ACAUCUGCCCAGGACUCUCUUCCCAACUUUGCCAAUCAAGCUCUUCCACCUCUUUUAAGCCCCAGCUCUAAUAUUCCACCUCACAGUCUUUUAACCUCCCAUUCCCCCAUGGCCAUUCUUUUCAGUAUACACCCAUGGUUCAUGCAUCUACAACUGCACACCACACUGCGUUGUAACUGUUUUUUAAUGCAUUACUCCCCCUGUCAGCUCUCGAUCCCAUAUUUGUAGGAACUGUGUCCCCAUAUCUGUAUUUUGGUUGCAUCCAGUUGAAAGACAGGGCAUGGUAGAAUAGAAAUAACAUGCACCUUAUAAACUGAUGCAGGUUAAAUCCAAACUGCUCCUUACUUGCUGUGGGGACUGGGGCAAGUUACUUCUUUGAGCUUCUUUAAAACAACAAUAGUAAUACCUGCUAUGCAGGAUUGUUGUGAAGAUUAAAUAAGCUGCAUUCAUUAGUUCAACAAAUAUAUGGAGACGUCCUAUUACAUGUCAGUAAUUGCAAGUGUAACUGUACUUGCUAUUAAGAAUAUAAAGGUGAAUAAGUCAUGACUUUAUCCUAAGAACUUUAUAAUGUGGUAGUAGAGAAAGACUAGGAAAUAGACAGUUGCAACAUAAUUCUUAAAGGAUGAGUAAGGAUUCACUAGCACAGGAGUUAUCAGGUUUAGGUUGAAAGCAGCAGGAUCUGAGGUAGAAGGAGAACUGUGUGCAAUGCCUUUAAGCCAGGGAGAGGAUGGGAAGUCUAAGGCACAGAGGGAGGUGUAAUGUAGCUGUGAUGUGAUGGUGGGGUUAGGCUGCAAAUACAAAUAUUACAAGGGGCCUUGCAAGCUAGGCACAGGGCAGAGGGAAUGUGUGAAGAGUAGAUGAUUAGAUUUGCACUUCAGGAAGAUCUCUUUCCUUGCUGGCAUGUGGAAUAGUUUGGGGGAGUCAAGAGAAUCACUAUGACCAGUGAAGAGACUGUAGCCCAGAAGUGUUAAUGGCCUUAACAGCAGGAGUUACAGUGGAAAUGGGGUGGAGAGAAUGCAUUGAGAGAUAAUUAGGUGCCAGAAAAGGCAGCAAGUGAUAUGGUGUACAGGUGGGGGAAAAGUGCGUAAGGAAGAGAGAGGAGAUUUCGGGGAAAAUGUACAGAAUUUUGACUUGAGGAUGACGGUGCUAUUCUCAGAGAUAGGAAAUGCAAGAGAAGCAGUUUAGGGUAUAGGUAGGGAAUGGAAAGUGAGUCCAGUGUGGAAAUUGUGGAAUUUGAAGUACCCAGAGGGAGCGCAGGACAUUUUGACAUCAUUUUGAGCUCUUGUAUGUUUUGACCCUGCUGUUUUUUUUGUUCUUGAAUAUAAACAUUGCCGUCAAGAUGAUAUCAACACUGAUGAAUUUUGUGGUAAAGAUUUAUUCCAGGGUUAACUUCGUUAAGCUAGUUUAAUUUAUUGACCUAUUUCCUAUAUUGCAAAUUUAAUCUUUUCCAAUUUGUUCCCUCCUGUAUUGUUUUACUAGCACUGUUUCCAUCAGGACAAAAUCUUUCUUGUGUACAUUUUACAAUGAAUACUUGAUUUAUCAACCUCUUUAUCAUCAUCUUUUUCAAAUUUUUACAGAUACAACUUUUCCAUGAUAAAUGUCGUUUUAGCUCUACUAUUUUUACCAUGUCAAAUUUUGGACAACUACUCUUUUUGAUUUUUCAUUAAUUUGUGAGCAAUAAUAACUUUUUACCAUUUUCUGUUUUUGCUAUUUUCAGUUGUAUUUUACCUUUUUUUUUGUAACCAGCGAAAUAGUUUCAUGAGACAAUUUUUUCAACUUUAAAAAUUACCAAUGAUCUGUGAUUCUCAAGUCAGCUUUUCAUCUAUAACAAAUUUUGCUGUGUAUCAUUUUGGCCCUUGUCGGUUUCAUUUUGGUCCUUAAAACCAAAACUGCCUCAGAAUCUAAAUGGCAUUCUUCUGCCUAUGGAAGAGCCAAGGAUAGAAGUCCAGAACAUAGGUACAUGUAUAUAGGUAUGGCGAUUUGAAGAGAAGUCUAGGAUGAAAUGUAGAUUUGUAAGCAUUUGCAUCUGGGUAUGGGGGCAAGAGAGUGGAUGACAUCUCACCAGAGGGUGUAUAGCGUAAGAGAAGAGCACCCCAAAAAACUAGGAGAAAGAAUCCAGGAAGGAGCGGUAGAAGGUAGGGAGAAACUCACAAGACGGCAUUCUUGUGGAAGUCAAGUCAAGAAAGAGGAAGUGGUCAACAAUGUUGGAUGCUGCAAAGAGGAUGCAUACUGAAAUGUGUGGAUUUUGCAACAAUAACAUCACCCUGUCGUCACUGAAGGCAACCUCAUGAACGGAGAAAGAUAUGCAGCUGGGUAUACAGAAGAGGAGCAAGAAGGAAGCGAAGAUGUGGAGACAAUUACAAGGACAACACUGGGCUGCAAGAAGAAAAAUUUGCUUAUUGAUUGGCUGGUUUGUUUCCUUUUAGUACGGAGAGACUUAAGCAUGGUUAGGUGCCGAUGGGUUAGAGAGGAGAGGAUGAAUGUACAGGAGAGUUGGAACAGGAUCCCCAAGAAGAAAAUUAAGAUCCCAGUCCUUUCCAGGGGUAGAAUUUAGCAUUGCUGCCUAAAUCUCCAUAUCUAAUGAUUCCUCUGCAGCCGUGCCCAAGACAGAACCAUCCUCAAUCUGGCCCAUCCAUUUGGGCUUUUACUUUGGGUUCCCCAUUAAACCCCUAAUUCCUUCCUGGGCCCAGAACUUUCUCCAGAGCUGCUAUCACUUGCUUUCAUAUCUCAGUCAAGGGGAUCUUACUGCCCUUAACCCCACAGUACUAUCACUUGCCAUGACGCUUGAAUAUUACUGCUUUUGAGAAAGUCUUGCUACCACGUGUUGGCCACAACAUCAGAUAAGCUUUGAUACUCUUGCUCUCCAGCUGUGAGCUGGGUCUUACCUCAUCUACUAGAUCUACCACUCACAGGUCAGAUGAAACAAAACACUGUGUUGUGACCCUGACCAUUCUCUGUUCCUCCCAUUUGUCCUGAGACUGAACAAAUUACAGCAAAACUUGGGUUGCCUUAUGAAUAAUGGGGCGGUGGCCAAUGCACACAUCCUUAUCUUCAUCCACGGAGGGCUCAUCUAACCACCCCUGGUGUCUUCACUGCAGGUUUAUUGGGCACUUCCUAGCACCAGGCACUGCAAUAAGAAAUGGAGGUUAAACCAUGAAGAAACAUGGCUCUAGCCCUUAGGGAGCUCCCGGUCCUGCAGGUUUUCACUAUUUAUUUAUGACAAAUAUUCCACAUCCGUGAUUCUCUCUAGUCAAAACUUCUUUGAGACGAUGCUGUCGGCCUUGGCCAAUCGGAGAAUCGAAUCAUCUGACUCACCCAUCCUAUCGCCCCGCAGAUAGCAUAAGUUUUAAACUGGCCAUUAAACCUGCCCGUGACCUUGUCAGCCUCGGCCACGUUCAUCUGGAUGGAUGCGUGGUCCUUGGCACCGAUGAUGCGGUUGCUAGCGGAGCAUUUCCGCGGAACUUACAGGUCCACGAACUCGCCGGCGUUGUUCUGCAUUUCGAGGCUCCGCCUGCUGCCACCACACCGCGCACGCGAGAGAAAGCCGAGGGUUUGUCCUCUUAUGCCAAGUUAGGGCAGCCCUCAAAGCAGAUCUCGAAGGGAAGACGUCUACCGAGAGCGGAUUUUGAUGUAUCACUCCAUGAGACUGGUGCCUUUCUCUAGCCUGGAGAAUUCCAAGGGUGCAAAGCUGGCUGAAGCUAUUUGAGACGGCUGGUGAGGAUUUGGGCCAGCAGAGGGGUAAGCGUUCAGGACUCGCAGAGUUUGAAUGAGCAAGCAUGUCUGAGUGGACCCCAUGGAAAGCAUUCAGGCUUUAGUUGUCUUAAAACGGCCAUACCCAGAGCAAGUGUAAAGGCAGUUGUGGAAAAUAAUAUAAACCAGUUACAAUAGCAUUCUUGGAGUGCUUACCCAGGUACUAGGGAUUAUUUUAUUAAUCCUCACAACCACCCUAAAAAAGCAUUACUUUCAUUCCCAUUUUUCAGAUGAGAAAACGGAGGAGUGAGGUCGUUAUUUUCUCAAGAUCAUAGAAUUAGCAUGGUUCAUAACUGGUAUUUAAAUAGCAGAUCCUUGUAUGUAUUAGCUUGGUGUUGAUCCCAUCUAUCUGUGGUUGGUUCCCAGAUUUACUACCUCCAGCUUUGGUUUCAUUCCCUCCUGAACUCAAGACCUGUAUAUCCAACUGCUUACUUGAUAUUUCCAUUUGGGUAUGUCAUAGCCAGUGGAAAACACUGGGUAAUUUAUGAGGAUAAGAGGUUUAGUUGACCCACAGGUCCACAGGCUGUACAGGAAGCAUGGCUGGGAGACCUCAGGAAACUUAAAAUCAUGGCAGAAGGUGAAGGGGAAGCACUUGCUCUCCUCUCUGCCUAGAGGGCUAGAGGAAAGUUCCUGAUUGCAACUUACCGCUACCUUGCUCUUCCCUAUCUUGGUUGCUUGAGUCACGUCUCCUUUCCCUUACCUUCUCCCUUUGUCUGACAUACCCAGUUGCUGUAGAACUUGAAUCCAUUGACUUCUCUCCAUUUCCACUGUCAUUUUAUGAGUGCAACCCACAUCACCCCACUGCUUUUAUUCUUCCCUCUCAGCCCACUCUCCACAGUAGAGAGAGAAUUAUUUUCAUCUCCCUUUACUGGCUUGUCAUUUAUCUGGGAAUAAAAUCCAAACUGCACCACGGAGCCUUGGAAGGCCUGGCUGCUCCUCCCCUCGCAGUUCUCCAUGGCUCACUGGACUUUAGCAGCUCUGGCCUCCCUUCUGUUCCCUAGGAACCUUGGCCUUUGCACUUGUUCUCCUCUCUGCCUAGAGGGCUCUUUUUCUCAUCUCUUUGCAUAGCUGGGUCAUCCUCAUCCUUUAGGUCUCAACUGAAAGGUCACCUUCUCACUGCUACUCCCAGCUACUCAUUCUCUUUCCCAUGUUUAUCUUUGUCAUAGUCCUUCAAACAAUUGGUAAUUAAUUUGCUUAUUUUAAAAAACUUGUUUGUUAGAUGUGUUUAUCCUGUUUCCUCCUCCCAACUAUGAUCUAAGCUCUCUGAGAAGGGGCCUCACUUACCUUCAUGUUCAUCACUGUAGUGCCACAAUCUAGCAAAUUGCCUGGCAUAUGGAGGUGCUCAGCAAAUACCUGUUAAAUAAAUGAAUGAAUUUUUUUGUAAGUGUUUGUUGUAUAAAAGAAUGAAGAGAGAACCAAGUGCCAGAUGUCAUACACCAUAUAUAGUGGAUUUUUAACCUGGUUGGAGUGGGCAGAAUGUUGUGGGAGCUAAAACAUACAGUUAUCAUACUUAUGACAAUCGUAUCUCUUAUAGACAUUUAAAAAGCACCACCCAUACUUAUUCCAGCAUUCAAAAAAUAUUUAUUAUUUUCUUAUGUUCUAGGCACUAGGUUGGUGGCUGGAGAUGCGGUGAAAUAGACAUAGUCCCUCUCCUCAAAGCUUAUGGUCUAGCAUUCCUCCCUGGACAAGAGUAGGGAAAAGUUGGGAGAGGAGACAGAAUCAGGUCAAGCUUUCCCUUCUUCUCUAUAAUAUCCCUAGCAAGAUAUAUCAAUGUAGAAAUCUUAAAUAAAAUUUAUAAGAAAAACACAGAAAGAGUCUCCAAAGGCUAGCAAAAUGCCCAUCCUUUAAACAGAAUAAUUAGCAAAGAGAAAUUGGAGCAGAGCUUCGUUUAGAAAACAGUUGGUUUUUGGUAUGAAUUUGUCACUUUUCUAAUGUGAAAAAUAUAAGAUGCCAACGCCAAAACUGAAAGUCAGGACUCAAGAUACUUGUAUCCAUUUAGAAAUUACUAUAGCCCUGUUAUUCAGUACUUCUGCCAAUAUCAACUUCUAAUGCAAGGGAACUUGGAACAAUGGAGAAAACAGUGGAAAAGUUGGAAUUGGAUAACCUGGAUCAGAGUCCUUGCCCUGUUCCUACAGCUCUUUAGCCUUAAGGAUGUGUCCUAACCUUUUCCAGUCCCAGUUGACUUGUCCAUCUAAUGGGGAUGAAAAGAGAAUAUAUCUCAAGACAUUUUUGUAGAUCAAAUUGGCAAAUCCAUGUUAUGUGUUUAGCAUAGUGCCUGUCAUCUAGCAUACAGAAUAAUAUAUAGUAAUAAUAUAAUUAUAGUGAUAUAAUUAUUAUAUUAGUGAUUAUAAUUAUUAUAACUAAUAAUAUAGCACAGUAAUAAUAUAUGAAUAUAAUAUAUAAUAUUGCUAAUAUUGUAAUUUUUGGUGAAAUUUAUUAUAGUACCACCCAAAGUUAGGGACUGUCAUGAGGAAUAAAUGAUGUGUGCAUAUACUUUUGUGUAAAUACCUAUCACAGUGAUUGGAACAUAGCAGGGCUAAAUGAAUAGUUGUUGAAUAAGCUAAUGUAUUGGGGAAGCUACAAAGGGUAGAUUGUUAUACAAAUGCUUGUACUUCUUAUUUUUAACAAAAAUAGAUUGAGCAAUCAGAAUCUCUCUAUGAGCAAACAAAGGAGGUCAAAAGAUGCUCAAAAAUGUCCCUAUUGAUCAAGUAUGUUAUUAGAAUAUUUAGCAAUCAAUAGGGCAUGGAUGCUGCCCGACUGGAAUAAAUGCUGGCAGUAGCUCCUGAUGAGGGUCCUAAGGGCCCCAACUCUGCCAUGCAUUAUCCCUUUAGUUAGAAAUUGUGGAAAGGUCUUGGAGGGGUCCUAAGAGUGUACCAGAGAAGAGGAAGUGGUAGUAUGGGGUGAAGGUGUUUGCAUAGGAUAGCAGCCAUGUUCCAACAAGUACAAAGCAAUUUCACUAUCUUAAUAUCUGGUUUAGCUGUGCUGGUGCUUCUGAUCUAAAGUAGCUCUGCCCCACAAACAAAAUCCUACAUAACUAGAGUUGAAAAGAGAGACAAUAUAUCCUGUAUAUACUAUGUUCCUCAAUUCACUUCCCAUCCUAAACACAGGGACAAGGAUUUGUUUGCUUGAAAGUAAUGAUCUGUCAACAAACUGGGUCAAAGAAAAGACCCUGGCAGCUUAGCCUGAGGAGAAGGGUGCUAGUAUCACAUCACGCAUCUAUAAAAUGUGGGCCGCUUUUGGAAAUACGUGGGUGAGUUGCCAAUUGCAUCAGCCUAGCUGUUGCAGUUCUUGAUAAUUAUUAGUCAUCUUUGUUCCAGCAAAAUCCUCAUCAUUCUCAAUAGAUUAGAGGCUAAAUUUCAAAUCCACUUUAGUAAAAAUCUUUACAAUUGGACUGUUAGAAACCUUGCAUUAUUUGAACAAAAGUGACGUAUUUGAAGAUCAGUGGGAAAGUUGGAAAAUAAACCAAUUCCUGCUCACUAAUUAUUUUUUUAAAUGCCAUGAAUGGAGGCUUGGUUUCACUGAAUAUGCCUUUAAAGAUUUUUAAAUGUUUUAUAUCCAGUCAAGUUGAGAUUUUUAAGAACAUUUUUAAUAUGUAAUAAAAUUUUAUAAUGACUUUUUUCAAAAAAGUUAACAAACUGCAAGCACUUGUUAAUAAAUGUCUUAAUUUAAAAAACGAACAUACAACUGUGUAACUAACUCUUUUCUGAUCUCUAUUGAUAUACUAAAUAUCACACAAAAUUUGGUGGUCUCUAUGGGGUUUGGUAUUUGGAAAUUACUGUUAGUGAGAAGAAAUGGAGGAAGGAUCUUAUAUGUUAUGUUUCCUUCUGAGUGAAUGAAAUCUGUAUGAGCUGAUUAGCAAAAUGGCUUCCAUGAUCCACCUACUGGAUAGCUUAU
RNAcentral lists this long non-coding RNA (7644 nucleotides) under Homo sapiens (human). RNAcentral describes it as "HSALNT0318504". The record is from RNAcentral. Lineage: Eukaryota; Metazoa; Chordata; Mammalia; Primates; Hominidae.